UACGGAGGGUGCAAGCGUUAUUCGGAAUUACUGGGCGUAAAGCGCACGCAGGCGGUUUGUUAAGUCCGAUGUGAAAUCCCCGAGCUUAACUUGGGAACUGCAUUUGAAACUGGCAAGCUAGAGUCUUGUAGAGGGGGGUAGAAUUCCAGGUGUAGCGGUGAAAUGCGUAGAGAUCUGGAGGAAUACCGGUGGCGAAGGCGGCCCCCUGGACAAAGACUGACGCUCAGGUGCGAAAGUAUGGGGAGCAAAAAGG
This 253-nucleotide ribosomal RNA is filed under the name uncultured bacterium. Its description in RNAcentral is "partial 16S ribosomal RNA". It matches the Rfam family "Bacterial small subunit ribosomal RNA", at positions 524 to 776 of the family's 1533-position model. The record is from RNAcentral.